GGGUUGUGAGGUUAAGCGACUAAGCGUACACGGUGGAUGCCCUGGCAGUCAGAGGCGAUGAAGGACGUGCUAAUCUGCGAAAAGCGUCGGUAAGGUGAUAUGAACCGUUACAGCCGGCGAUGUCCGAAUGGGGAAACCCAGUGUGAUUCGUCACACUAUCGUUAACUGAAUACAUAGGUUAACGAGGCGAACCGGGGGAACUGAAACAUCUAAGUACCCCGAGGAAAAGAAAUCAACCGAGAUUCCCCCAGUAGCGGCGAGCGAACGGGGAGCAGCCCAGAGUCUGAAUCAGCUUGUGUGUUAGUGGAACGGUCUGGAAAGUCCGACGGUACAGGGUGAUAGUCCCGUACACCAAAAUGCACAGGCUGUGAACUCGAAGAGUAGGGCGGGACACGUGGUAUCCUGUCUGAAUAUGGGGGGACCAUCCUCCAAGGCUAAAUACUCCUGACUGACCGAUAGUGAACCAGUACCGUGAGGGAAAGGCGAAAAGAACCCCGGCGAGGGGAGUGAAAAAGAACCUGAAACCGUGUACGUACAAGCAGUGGGAGCACCUUCGGGUGUGACUGCGUACCUUUUGUAUAAUGGGUCAGCGACUUAUAUUCUGUAGCAAGGUUAACCGUAUAGGGGAGCCGCAGGGAAACCGAGUCUUAACUGGGCGUUAAGUUGCAGGGUAUAGACCCGAAACCCGGUGAUCUAGCCAUGGGCAGGUUGAAGGUUGGGUAACACUAACUGGAGGACCGAACCGACUAAUGUUGAAAAAUUAGCGGAUGACUUGUGGCUGGGGGUGAAAGGCCAAUCAAACCGGGAGAUAGCUGGUUCUCCCCGAAAGCUAUUUAGGUAGCGCCUCGUGAACUCAUCUUCGGGGGUAGAGCACUGUUUCGGCUAGGGGGUCAUCCCGACUUACCAACCCGAUGCAAACUACGAAUACCGAAGAAUGUUAUCACGGGAGACACACGGCGGGUGCUAACGUCCGUCGUGAAGAGGGAAACAACCCAGACCGCCAGCUAAGGUCCCAAAGUCAUGGUUAAGUGGGAAACGAUGUGGGAAGGCACAGACAGCCAGGAUGUUGGCUUAGAAGCAGCCAUCAUUUAAAGAAAGCGUAAUAGCUCACUGGUCGAGUCGGCCUGCGCGGAAGAUGUAACGGGGCUAAACCAUGCACCGAAGCUGCGGCAGCGACACUAUGUGUUGUUGGGUAGGGGAGCGUUCUGUAAGCCUGCGAAGGUGACCUGUGAGGGUUGCUGGAGGUAUCAGAAGUGCGAAUGCUGACAUAAGUAACGAUAAAGCGGGUGAAAAGCCCGCUCGCCGGAAGACCAAGGGUUCCUGUCCAACGUUAAUCGGGGCAGGGUGAGUCGACCCCUAAGGCGAGGCCGAAAGGCGUAGUCGAUGGGAAACAGGUUAAUAUUCCUGUACUUGGUGUUACUGCGAAGGGGGGACGGAGAAGGCUAUGUUAGCCGGGCGACGGUUGUCCCGGUUUAAGCAUGUAGGCUGGUUAUCCAGGCAAAUCCGGAUAAUCAAGGCUGAGGUGUGAUGACGAGGCACUACGGUGCUGAAGUAACAAAUGCCCUGCUUCCAGGAAAAGCCUCUAAGCAUCAGGUAACACGAAAUCGUACCCCAAACCGACACAGGUGGUCAGGUAGAGAAUACCAAGGCGCUUGAGAGAACUCGGGUGAAGGAACUAGGCAAAAUGGUGCCGUAACUUCGGGAGAAGGCACGCUGGUGUGUAGGUGAAGUCCCUGCGGAUGGAGCUGAGACCAGUCGAAGAUACCAGCUGGCUGCAACUGUUUAUUAAAAACACAGCACUGUGCAAACACGAAAGUGGACGUAUACGGUGUGACGCCUGCCCGGUGCCGGAAGGUUAAUUGAUGGGGUUAUCCGUAAGGAGAAGCUCUUGAUCGAAGCCCCGGUAAACGGCGGCCGUAACUAUAACGGUCCUAAGGUAGCGAAAUUCCUUGUCGGGUAAGUUCCGACCUGCACGAAUGGCGUAAUGAUGGCCAGGCUGUCUCCACCCGAGACUCAGUGAAAUUGAACUCGCUGUGAAGAUGCAGUGUACCCGCGGCAAGACGGAAAGACCCCGUGAACCUUUACUAUAGCUUGACACUGAACAUUGAGCCUUGAUGUGUAGGAUAGGUGGGAGGCUUUGAAGCGUGGACGCCAGUCUGCGUGGAGCCAACCUUGAAAUACCACCCUUUAAUGUUUGAUGUUCUAACGUUGGCCCCUUAUCGGGGUUGCGGACAGUGUCUGGUGGGUAGUUUGACUGGGGCGGUCUCCUCCCAAAGCGUAACGGAGGAGCACGAAGGUUAGCUAAUCCUGGUCGGACAUCAGGAGGUUAGUGCAAUGGCAUAAGCUAGCUUGACUGCGAGCGUGACGGCGCGAGCAGGUGCGAAAGCAGGUCAUAGUGAUCCGGUGGUUCUGAAUGGAAGGGCCAUCGCUCAACGGAUAAAAGGUACUCCGGGGAUAACAGGCUGAUACCGCCCAAGAGUUCAUAUCGACGGCGGUGUUUGGCACCUCGAUGUCGGCUCAUCACAUCCUGGGGCUGAAGUAGGUCCCAAGGGUAUGGCUGUUCGCCAUUUAAAGUGGUACGCGAGCUGGGUUUAGAACGUCGUGAGACAGUUCGGUCCCUAUCUGCCGUGGGCGCUGGAGAAUUGAGGGGGGCUGCUCCUAGUACGAGAGGACCGGAGUGGACGCAUCACUGGUGUUCGGGUUGUCAUGCCAAUGGCACUGCCCGGUAGCUAAAUGCGGAAGAGAUAAGUGCUGAAAGCAUCUAAGCACGAAACUUGCCCCGAGAUGAGUUCUCCCUGAGACUUUAAGUCUCCUGAAGGAACGUUAAAGACGAUGACGUUGAUAGGCCGGGUGUGUAAGCGCAGCGAUGCGUUGAGCUAACCGGUACUAAUGAACCGUGAGGCUUAACCUUACAACGCCGAAG
This 2923-nucleotide ribosomal RNA is filed under the name Klebsiella quasipneumoniae. RNAcentral describes it as "23S ribosomal RNA". It matches the Rfam family "Bacterial large subunit ribosomal RNA". Lineage: Bacteria; Pseudomonadati; Pseudomonadota; Gammaproteobacteria; Enterobacterales; Enterobacteriaceae. The record is from RNAcentral.